Long non-coding RNA from Leopardus geoffroyi (Geoffroy's cat), 982 nucleotides. RefSeq lists it as uncharacterized. The transcript is spliced from 3 exons. The record is from RefSeq and is a predicted model, not a curated record. NCBI's taxonomy places the organism in Eukaryota, Metazoa, Chordata, Mammalia, Carnivora, Felidae.
CCAGUAAAACAUAAGCUUCUGGCUUUUACUUUAAAGGAAAGAUGCCAGCUUCUCAGCUCAUCCUUUAAUUGCCUUCUACGUAAUAGGAGAGGUUGUUAGUAUAGAGAACAAGCCAGAACAGGGAUAGGGAAGCCAACUGCUCUCCAUUCCGACCAUGGAAAGUUCACUGGGAGGCGUGGUUUGAGUCCAACCAGAGGAUGCAGGAGACUGGAGAAGAUUUCCCUUUCGCUUCAGGCCCACGGCAAAGUACAUUGCCCUCUUUCCUUUGCGAAGCAACCACCGAGCACUUCUCAGAGAAAUGCCACAAAGAUGCCUCAGCCUCGAACAAGAGUCCUUCGCCACGGCCUGUUUUCCUUCCGCCUCGAGAUACCAGAGUAAAGAGGGGAAUACCGAGAAGUCUGUCCUGGGAUUCAGGACACAUAGGCCUUGAGCCUGAGAGUUGCUGAGGCCUCAGCACAGAGUGCCAGAGUAUUCCGUAGCUGCACAUCUCUCACCAGACAGCCAGGUGGCAUUCAGGCGACUACAAGUGUGGCGUGACAUAAGGACUCAGGAUUGGGACACCAAUGUCCGGGGCCCUGGAACUGUGCAGCGGCAUUGUGGUCCCCAUGCCCUCAGCCUCGGAACCACGGUGUACACAGACCAGCCUUCCAAAUGCCUGCAUCACUACACUGCGUUCCUUUGCCGGAGGGAGUUCUCUGAAUAUCUCCCCGUGACAGACCGAAGCACCUGAGAAUGAAUAUCUCCCCCCCCCCCCCACCUCUGUGGUGGUCUUCAACCCAAAACCAUCAGGAACUGGGGUCUGCAGCUCCCUUCUCCCUCAGGUGCAGGAACUCCAAGAGCCGGCCCAGAGAGGGACCGAGGCCAGCGUGUCCACACCCGAGCCAGGAAAGGGCGGAGACACCAGCCAUAGAGCCUGAAGCGGGAAGCAGAGCCCCUGGGGACAGAAGGCUGCCACACCACUGCCCUGGUCCCAGGCUUCCAG